UAGAGUUUGAUCAUGGCUCAAAUUGAACGCUGGCGGCAUGCUUUACACAUGCAAGUCGAACGCGCCGGGGGCAACUCCGGUGAGUGGCGAACGGGUGAGUAAUGCAUCGGAACGUACCCCGUAGUGGGGGAUAACGCCGCGAAAGCGGCGCUAAUACCGCAUAUGCUCUACGGAGGAAAGCAGGGGACCGCAAGGCCUUGUGCUAUGGGAGCGGCCGAUGCCCGAUUAGCUAGUUGGUGAGGUAAUGGCUCACCAAGGCGACGAUCGGUAGCCGGCCUGAGAGGGCGGACGGCCACACUGGGACUGAGAUACGGCCCAGACUCCUACGGGAGGCAGCAGUGGGGAAUUGUUCGCAAUGGGCGCAAGCCUGACGACGCAACGCCGCGUGGAGGAUGAAGGUCUUCGGAUUGUAAACUCCUG
This 420-nucleotide ribosomal RNA is filed under the name uncultured bacterium. RNAcentral describes it as "bacterial SSU rRNA". It matches the Rfam family "Bacterial small subunit ribosomal RNA", at positions 1 to 435 of the family's 1533-position model. The record is from RNAcentral.